CCGGUACGUGCCCGGCGCGUCCGCCGCGGGCCAGGGUGCGGGUGUCGGGUGGCGUGCGGGCUGGGGCUGCGCCCGUGCAGGAUGCCCGCUGCCGGCGAGUGGGUCGCGAGCAGGACACUUCGGAGAGCGGCUCUGCAGACCCUUCAGGGUUCCUGCCUUGGGGCUCAGAGAAUCUGGACUUGGGCUGAGAAGGUUGCAGGGAUUUGGAUGCUAACAUAUCUCCUAGUUUCCAGCGCUCGCCCUGCAGAGCGUGCCAUCUCGGCAGCUGUUGAAAGGUCAGUUGGAAAAGCAUUCAUUCGGGGAGCGACGAGCAAACAUGCACAUAAAAUAGCGUUUCAAGUCGGCCCGGGAUGGUUCUGUGUGAACUGGUGUGUGUGUUCGAGGGGCGGGGGUGGAAUGAGCAGAAGCCAAGUCUUUGCCUGCGCAGGCUGAGUUGAUAUAGACUAUUGCUGGAAACCAUCCGCUGGGAUGUUUCUUAGGGAAAUCCCGUCGUGUGGAAGGAAGCCUUUUAAAGGCAAAGUCAGAUGUUGAGGAAUUAGCCUUUUCAUAGAAUUAUCAAAGGAUGGCUGUACAGACCACCUAGAAAAUAAUUCAGUAUUUCAGGUUUUUCUUUUCUGGGAGUGUGAUAACUGAAAUUGUUAGAUUUUGGCUCAGUUAAGAAAAGAAAGAUCUGUUGCCUUUCUUCUGAGUGAACAGUGGUGAGAAAAAAUUUUGCAAGGCCCCGCUUUUCCUUUCUUCACAGGCCAGCAGUAGCCAUAUCUGAUCAAAAAAGAUACCUGAAGGAAUAUUGAUCACAUUUUCCUGAGGCCCUAGCAAGCACAGGAAUUGAGAAGUUAGGACUGGAACAACUUUGUCAUUUGUCACAAUUGCCAAACAUUAGAAUACACAGGAACCGUUUUUUCAGGUAACUCUGUGACUUGGCUGGAUCUUCCUGAUCAUCAAGAUUAGCACCUCGGGGCCUGGAAGAGGUUAGGGAGGGCAGGAAGAAGGAGUGAGCCAGCAUCCAGCUCUGCGUGGGGCAGGCUAUGGCGUGGACAGACUUAACAUUCCACAGCACGGCUGAAAGCCCUGGACCUCUUUCCCUUGCACCCCUAAUUCAUGGUGAUAAAACCAAAACAUGGUGAAUUAGGUUAUUAGAACGUUGGAACAUCUCUGAAGCUCAAAGCCCUCUUAUGGCUAUGUGAAGGCAUACGUGGAGGCAUACGUACUCCACCCUGAAGCUUCUCCUUCAAUUUUAAUGUUAAUCUUACCAAGCGACAGCUUUCAUCCUGGUUAAGGCAGCUCGGUGUGUGUAAAAGCAGCCUGGCCUGUUAAACACAAUGCCGUUAAAUCAAACUGCCUUUCUUUUUUUUUUUUUAAAGUUUCCUUUUCAGUACUGACAACUUGGAGGUAGAGAAACCAAAAGCAAUGUUUUCAGAAGGCCUUUUGCUUUCUUAAAGAUUUCAAACGAUGAUUGUAGUUAAUCUGGCUGCCUGUUUGAAAAACCAUCAGAUAAAUGCCCACAAGGCUCUCAUCUUUCAGUAGCUUAGCUGCUGCUUGUCAGAUUCUAAACUCCAAAGUGCUUGACUCUUCCAGUGCCCAAACUAAUCCUUGUUUAAAUUAUGUCUUCAGAAGCUAUAACUCUUAUAGUGGCUUGCUAAAUGAUACCCUUUGGAUCUGGGCUGAAGACUUCCAGAAUGCCCAAGUGAAUUUCAGGAGCGGGCUCAAUGUUUAACCAAAUUCACCUUUACCAAGGGCUAUUCAAUCCAUAUCUGGGAUGUUUUAAAUAAAACUAUCCAGGACUGUGGGCAAUAUUCAAAGUUAAUAUUUGUUGCCAAUAUGUUUGGAGUGCAAGAUAAAGCAUUAUAAUGUCUAGACAUUUUUGAAAUAAAAAAGUCUUCUGGUUACCAAAAGGCAUUAUUGUCAUAGGUCAUGCAACUCAGAGGUGAAACUUGAGAAAACAGAAAGUGACUACCAACAGGUGACACAUUGAGAAGAUAAUUAGGAAUUUCCUCAAUCAUACAGCCCUCAGCACCCAUUUCUCACAUCAAAAUAGAAUGGUGGAGCCGAGUGCGGUGGCACAGCCUGUGGUCCCAGCUACUCUGGAGGCUGAGGAAGAUCAUUUGAGCCCAGGAGUACUGGUCUGGAGCGAACUAUGCCUAUUGGGUAUCUGCAGUAAGCUCGGCAUCAAUAUGGUGACCUUUCGGGAGUGGGGACCACCAAGUUGCCCAAGGAGGGGUGAACUGGCUUGGUGGGAAACAGAACAGGUAAAAACUCCAUGCUGAUCAGCAGUGGGACUGCAUCUGUGCAUAGCCACUGCCCUCCAGCCUGGGCAACACACAAGACCCUGUCUCUAAAAAUAAAUAAAUAAAUGAAUGGAAUAGAAGAGAAUAUUGAAGACAAGGGGAUGAAGGCAUGAUUUUAAAUGACUAAAAUGGUCUGGGCAUGGUGGCUCAUGUCUGUAAUCCCAGCACUUUGGGAGGCCGAGGCAGGCGGAUCACCUGAGGUCAGGAGAUUGAGAUCAGCCUGGCCAACAUGGUGAAAUCCUGUCUCUACUAAAAAUACAAAAAUCAGCGGGGUGUGGUGGUGCCCGCAUGUAAUCCCAGCUACUCGGAAAGCUGAGGCAGGAGAAUCACUUGAACCUGGGAGGUGGAGAUUGCAGUGAGCCAGUAUUGCACCACCGUACUCCGGACUGGGUGACAGAGUAAGACUCUGUUUCAAAAAAGAAAAAUAAAAAAUUAAAAUGUAUUAUGGCCUUAAAUAAUAGGGUUGAUUUCCACUUUAAAACAUAUCCUGUUAUAUUUCAGUGAAAAUUUUUAUUUAAAAAUAUUCUAAAUAUUGAAAAGAUGUAUUUUGGGGGGGCAGAGAUAAUGUCAUUCCUUUUAUUACCAUCCAAAAACUGGAAGAAGCAUUUCAUUUUGUGAAAACUGUGCUGCUUUUAAAAGAGAAAGUCCUUACUUCCUGACUGGACCCUUCCCCCACCCCUGCUUCUCAUUUUGAGGAAACCAUUCUUGAAUAGGCUUCUGAAAAUCUUACAAGAGUAAAAUUUAUUUGUUCAGCAUUUGGUUGUUGAAGGACCCAGUGCGGAGGUGACAUUCGGGUGUCAGCCUCAGAUAAUACAAUGUGAAAUGACUGAAAAGAUGCAAUUGGGCACUGCCGUUCUCUUUUUACAUGUUUUUUUGUUUGUUUUUUGUUUUGUUU
Molecule: long non-coding RNA, 3180 nt
Filed under: Homo sapiens (human)
Lineage: Eukaryota; Metazoa; Chordata; Mammalia; Primates; Hominidae
Description: HSALNT0360255
Rfam family: Metazoan signal recognition particle RNA (bases 2045-2335)
Source: RNAcentral